RNAcentral lists this ribosomal RNA (484 nucleotides) under uncultured bacterium. RNAcentral's name for it is "partial 16S ribosomal RNA". It matches the Rfam family "Bacterial small subunit ribosomal RNA", at positions 30 to 507 of the family's 1533-position model. The record is from RNAcentral.
AUUGAACGCUGGCGGCAGGCCUAACACAUGCAAGUCGAGCGGAUGAAGGGAGCUUGCUCCUGGAUUCAGCGGCGGACGGGUGAGUAAUGCCUAGGAAUCUGCCUGGUAGUGGGGGAUAACGUCCGGAAACGGGCGCUAAUACCGCAUACGUCCUGAGGGAGAAAGUGGGGGAUCUUCGGACCUCACGCUAUCAGAUGAGCCUAGGUCGGAUUAGCUAGUUGGUGGGGUAAAGGCCUACCAAGGCGACGAUCCGUAACUGGUCUGAGAGGAUGAUCAGUCACAACUGGAACUGAGACCCGGUCAGACUCCUACGGGAGGCAGCAGUGGGGAAUAUUGGACAAUGGGCGAAAGCCUGAUCCAGCCAUACCGCGUGUGUGAAGAAGGUCUUCGGAUUGUAAAGCACUUUAAGUUGGGAGGAAGGGCAGUAAGUUAAUACCUUGCUGUUUUGACGUUACCAACAGAAUAAGCACCGGCUAACUUCGUG